This 1067-nucleotide ribosomal RNA is filed under the name Escherichia coli. RNAcentral describes it as "partial 23S ribosomal RNA". It matches the Rfam family "Bacterial large subunit ribosomal RNA", at positions 612 to 1681 of the family's 2925-position model. Lineage: Bacteria; Pseudomonadati; Pseudomonadota; Gammaproteobacteria; Enterobacterales; Enterobacteriaceae. The record is from RNAcentral.
AUAAUGGGUCAGCGACUUAUAUUCUGUAGCAAGGUUAACCGAAUAGGGGAGCCGAAGGGAAACCGAGUCUUAACUGGGCGUUAAGUUGCAGGGUAUAGACCCGAAACCCGGUGAUCUAGCCAUGGGCAGGUUGAAGGUUGGGUAACACUAACUGGAGGACCGAACCGACUAAUGUUGAAAAAUUAGCGGAUGACUUGUGGCUGGGGGUGAAAGGCCAAUCAAACCGGGAGAUAGCUGGUUCUCCCCGAAAGCUAUUUAGGUAGCGCCUCGUGAAUUCAUCUCCGGGGGUAGAGCACUGUUUCGGCAAGGGGGUCAUCCCGACUUACCAACCCGAUGCAAACUGCGAAUACCGGAGAAUGUUAUCACGGGAGACACACGGCGGGUGCUAACGUCCGUCGUGAAGAGGGAAACAACCCAGACCGCCAGCUAAGGUCCCAAAGUCAUGGUUAAGUGGGAAACGAUGUGGGAAGGCCCAGACAGCCAGGAUGUUGGCUUAGAAGCAGCCAUCAUUUAAAGAAAGCGUAAUAGCUCACUGGUCGAGUCGGCCUGCGCGGAAGAUGUAACGGGGCUAAACCAUGCACCGAAGCUGCGGCAGCGACGCUUAUGCGUUGUUGGGUAGGGGAGCGUUCUGUAAGCCUGCGAAGGUGUGCUGUGAGGCAUGCUGGAGGUAUCAGAAGUGCGAAUGCUGACAUAAGUAACGAUAAAGCGGGUGAAAAGCCCGCUCGCCGGAAGACCAAGGGUUCCUGUCCAACGUUAAUCGGGGCAGGGUGAGUCGACCCCUAAGGCGAGGCCGAAAGGCGUAGUCGAUGGGAAACAGGUUAAUAUUCCUGUACUUGGUGUUACUGCGAAGGGGGGACGGAGAAGGCUAUGUUGGCCGGGCGACGGUUGUCCCGGUUUAAGCGUGUAGGCUGGUUUUCCAGGCAAAUCCGGAAAAUCAAGGCUGAGGCGUGAUGACGAGGCACUACGGUGCUGAAGCAACAAAUGCCCUGCUUCCAGGAAAAGCCUCUAAGCAUCAGGUAACAUCAAAUCGUACCCCAAACCGACACAGGUGGUCAGGUAGAGAAUAC